RNAcentral lists this ribosomal RNA (494 nucleotides) under Enterococcus faecium. RNAcentral's name for it is "bacterial SSU rRNA". It matches the Rfam family "Bacterial small subunit ribosomal RNA", at positions 97 to 577 of the family's 1533-position model. Lineage: Bacteria; Bacillati; Bacillota; Bacilli; Lactobacillales; Enterococcaceae. The record is from RNAcentral.
GGCGAACGGGUGAGUAACACGUGGGUAACCUGCCCAUCAGAAGGGGAUAACACUUGGAAACAGGUGCUAAUACCGUAUAACAAUCAAAACCGCAUGGUUUUGAUUUGAAAGGCGCUUUCGGGUGUCGCUGAUGGAUGGACCCGCGGUGCAUUAGCUAGUUGGUGAGGUAACGGCUCACCAAGGCCACGAUGCAUAGCCGACCUGAGAGGGUGAUCGGCCACAUUGGGACUGAGACACGGCCCAAACUCCUACGGGAGGCAGCAGUAGGGAAUCUUCGGCAAUGGACGAAAGUCUGACCGAGCAACGCCGCGUGAGUGAAGAAGGUUUUCGGAUCGUAAAACUCUGUUGUUAGAGAAGAACAAGGAUGAGAGUAACUGUUCAUCCCUUGACGGUAUCUAACCAGAAAGCCACGGCUAACUACGUGCCAGCAGCCGCGGUAAUACGUAGGUGGCAAGCGUUGUCCGGAUUUAUUGGGCGUAAAGCGAGCGCAGGCG